CGGGGCGUGGCUCAGCUUGGUAGAGCGCUUGCUUCGGGAGUAAGAGGUCGCUGGUUCGAAUCCAGUCGCCCCGACCA
Molecule: transfer RNA, 77 nt
Filed under: Vulcanimicrobiota bacterium
Lineage: Bacteria; Bacillati; Vulcanimicrobiota
Description: tRNA-Pro
Rfam family: tRNA
About the family: Transfer RNA (tRNA) molecules are approximately 80 nucleotides in length.
Source: RNAcentral